GACGAACGCUGGCGGCGUGCCUAAUACAUGCAAGUUGAGCGAUGAAGAUUGGUGCUUGCACCAAUUUGAAGAGCAGCGAACGGGUGAGUAACGCGUGGGGAAUCUGCCUUUGAGCGGGGGACAACAUUUGGAAACGAAUGCUAAUACCGCAUAACAACUUUAAACAUAAGUUUUAAGUUUGAAAGAUGCAAUUGCAUCACUCAAAGAUGAUCCCGCGUUGUAUUAGCUAGUUGGUGAGGUAAAGGCUCACCAAGGCGAUGAUACAUAGCCGACCUGAGAGGGUGAUCGGCCACAUUGGGACUGAGACACGGCCCAAACUCCUACGGGAGGCAGCAGUAGGGAAUCUUCGGCAAUGGACGAAAGUCUGACCGAGCGACGCCGCGUGAGUGAAGAAGGUUUUCGGAUCGUAAAACUCUGUUGGUAGAGAAGAACGUUGGUGAGAGUGGAAAGCUCAUCAAGUGACGGUAACUACCCAGAAAGGGACGGCUAACUACGUG
Molecule: ribosomal RNA, 497 nt
Filed under: uncultured bacterium
Lineage: Bacteria
Description: partial 16S ribosomal RNA
Rfam family: Bacterial small subunit ribosomal RNA
Source: RNAcentral